UUUGACCUCAGCUCAGUCGUGAUUACCCGCUGAAUUUAAGCAUAUAAUUAAGCGGAGGAAGAAACUAA
Molecule: ribosomal RNA, 68 nt
Filed under: Anisakis simplex (herring worm)
Lineage: Eukaryota; Metazoa; Nematoda; Chromadorea; Rhabditida; Anisakidae
Also listed under: 7 other names
Description: partial 28S ribosomal RNA
Rfam family: Eukaryotic large subunit ribosomal RNA
Source: RNAcentral